UAUAUAUAUAUAUAUAUAUAUAUAUAUAUAUAUAUAUAUAUAUAUAUAUAUAUAUAGAGUGUGGAGCUACUAUGCUAUCGAAAAUAUAGAGAUCUAAUUUGAUACUUUUGAUUUUUUGAUCUUUGGAUCAAAAAUUGUACGGUUGGAGUAAUUGCAGUCCCCCCUAGGAUUGAAUGGUCCUCACAGGAUAAUAAUAUUAAUUCAAAAGUUGAAAAUAAUUGAAGAAGCUGAUUUAAGGGCAAAAAAGACGAAAGCACUAGAUUCUCUAUACUUUCGAUAGCAUAAUAGCUCUAUUAUAUAUAUAUAUAUAUAUAUAUAUAUAUAUAUAUGGCCAAUUUGCAUAAAAAAUUCACUUAUUUUGGACUGUUGCAAAAUCGGACCACCUUUUUCGUUUUUGCAGAUUCGGUCCGCUUUUUCAGCAAACUGAUCAAAAUACCCUUAUUACUUUUUUUCUUUCCUCUUUCUCUCUCCUCUUCGUUUCUGUCGUUUUUUUUUUCUCGCCGAAAAAAAAGAGGCGGAUUGGACCGUCGCCUCCCUCCUCACCCUCCUUCUUCACCGUUGCCUCCCUCCUCACCCUCCUCUCCACCGCCCGCGACCCCUCCUCCUCUCCCCCGCCGCCGCCGCCGAGCCCACCCCCACC
RNAcentral lists this long non-coding RNA (640 nucleotides) under Ananas comosus (pineapple). Its description in RNAcentral is "long non-coding RNA (ACOM_LNC006330)". Lineage: Eukaryota; Viridiplantae; Streptophyta; Magnoliopsida; Poales; Bromeliaceae. The record is from RNAcentral.